This 642-nucleotide ribosomal RNA is filed under the name uncultured bacterium. RNAcentral's name for it is "bacterial SSU rRNA". It matches the Rfam family "Bacterial small subunit ribosomal RNA", at positions 63 to 694 of the family's 1533-position model. The record is from RNAcentral.
CGAGGGGCAGCGGGGUUGUAGCAAUACAACUGCCGGCGACCGGCGCACGGGUGAGCAACACGUAUGUAACCUGCCCUCUGCAGGGGGAUAAGCGGAAGAAAUUCCGUCUAAUACCGCAUAAUACAAUUUGGAGACAUCUCCGGGUUGUCAAAGGAGUGAUCCGGCAGAGGAUGGACAUGCGGCGCAUUAGCUAGUCGGCGGAGUAACGGCCCACCGAGGCUACGAUGCGUAGGGGUUCUGAGAGGAAGGUCCCCCACACUGGUACUGAGACACGGACCAGACUCCUACGGGAGGCAGCAGUGAGGAAUAUUGGUCAAUGGGCGGAAGCCUGAACCAGCCAAGUCGCGUGAGGGAAGACGGUCCUAUGGAUUGUAAACCUCUUUUGCAGGGGAGCAAGGCGCGGUACGUGUACCGCGAAGGAGAGUACCCUGAGAAAAAGCAUCGGCUAACUCCGUGCCAGCAGCCGCGGUAAUACGGAGGAUGCGAGCGUUAUCCGGAUUUAUUGGGUUUAAAGGGUGCGCAGGCGGACUGUUAAGUCAGCGGUAAAAUGUCGGUGCUCAACACCGGCCGGCCGUUGAAACUGGCAGCCUUGAGUGAGCGAGAAGUAUGCGGAAUGCGUGGUGUAGCGGUGAAAUGCAUAGA